Molecule: ribosomal RNA, 428 nt
Filed under: uncultured archaeon
Lineage: Archaea
Description: bacterial SSU rRNA
Rfam family: Archaeal small subunit ribosomal RNA
Source: RNAcentral
UACCUGCAGCUCAAGUGGUGGCCGCUAUUAUUGGGCCUAAAACGUUCGUAGCCGGUUUAGUAAAUGCCUGGGUAAAUCGUGUAGCUCAACUAUACGAAUUCCGGGUAGACUGCUAAACUUGAGACUGGGAGAGGCUAGAGGUACUCCUGGGGUAGAGGUGAGAUUCUGUAAUCCUAGGGGGACCACCAGUGGCGAAGGCGUCUAGCUAGAACGGGUCUGACGGUGAGGGACGAAGCCCUGGGGCGCAAACGGGAUUAGAUACCCCGGUAGUCCAGGGUGUAAACGCUGCUUGCUUGAUGUUAGUCUGGCUCCGAGCCAGAUUAGUGUCGGAGAGAAGUUGUUAAGCAAGCUGCCUGGGAAGUACGGCCGCAAGACUGAAACUUAAAGGAAUUGGCGGGGAGCACAGCAACGGGUGGAGCGUGCGGUUU